CCAGCAAGUUUCUCAGUGUCAGGAUGGAAAUCUGAACGCAGGGAGAAGUAAUCUGACCACGCUGCAAGUGGAUCACCACCACGGCACCCAAAGAGGUCACAAAGAGCCAGAAGAUAAAUAGGCUACAGCUGGCUUGUACUCCAGCCAAGAUCAAUCUCUGCAAAGAUUCAGCCAAACCUGUUGAGUAUUUUCAGCAUUUCCAGCUUUUACUUUAGAAAUUCUGCAGAAAUACGGUACCCCAGUGACCAGUGGACAAUUUUAAAAGAUCAACAAGAAUCAAGAGGACCACCAGCCACAGUGUGCUGCUUUAUGUUGGGGAUGCAAACAGGCUAAGUGAACUCAUCAAAAAGACUGGAUCGCCCUUGGCUACAACCCGGAAUCUUGUGAGUUAGUGGUGGAGAGGAGGUCACUAAACAAACUGUUAUCCAUUAUGGACAAUCUGGCACAUCCUCUCCAUGACCUACUGAAUAAGCAGCAGAGCCCCCUUUUGAACAGACUCAUUCAGCUCUGCUGUCACAAGGAUCGUUACAGAAAAUCUUUCCUACUAAAUGCAAUAAGCAUACACAACAUUCAUCUCUGUGUGACAGGAGAACAUGCAUCAUAGUACAACAGUCUCUGUUUUAUUAUCUCAGAAAUUAUUAUUGCUCAUUGGUAAAUUAUUAUUCUGUACUUUAUUAUUAGUUAAAUCAGUGCUGUCUGUUUUUAAAUG
This is a long non-coding RNA of Hypanus sabinus (Atlantic stingray), 709 nucleotides long. RefSeq lists it as uncharacterized. The record is from RefSeq and is a predicted model, not a curated record. NCBI's taxonomy places the organism in Eukaryota, Metazoa, Chordata, Chondrichthyes, Myliobatiformes, Dasyatidae. The transcript is spliced from 3 exons.